This is a long non-coding RNA of Lathyrus oleraceus (garden pea), 1318 nucleotides long. RefSeq lists it as uncharacterized. The transcript is spliced from 5 exons. The record is from RefSeq and is a predicted model, not a curated record. NCBI's taxonomy places the organism in Eukaryota, Viridiplantae, Streptophyta, Magnoliopsida, Fabales, Fabaceae.
GUAAAAUGGAUUUUAAGGUAUCUUCACGGUACUACUUCUACGAGGUUUUGUUUUGGAGGAGAUAAGCCUACUCUAGUGGGUUACUCUGACUCUGAUAUGGAUGAAGACAUUGAUUUUAGAAAGUCCACUUCGGGCUACAUGAUUAAAUUUGUAGGGGAAGUUGUGGUUUGACCGUCUAUAUUGCAAAAGUUUAUAGUAUUGUCUACUACAGAGGUCGAGUUCAUUGCAAUUACCGAAACAUGCAAAAAGUUAUUAUGGUUGAAGAAAAUUUUGCAGAGCUUGGUUUUGUUAUCCUUCAUCGGUGCCUUUCCUUUGUUAUUGUGCUCCUUUUACCUUUGUUAUUACCUUUUUUAUUCAUAUCAGAUUCAUGCAUGUCAUUUUCGAUGUAAGUACCUUUCAGAUUCUUAACCAUCGCCUUCAGAUGGGUCGUCGUAUCUAUUUACAUAUAGUGAUCUCGACUACCUAGAGUCAAAUCCUUUGAUAUUUGGUUGUUGUGGUGAUUGUUCUCCCUAUUGAUGCUCCAUUUUCUGUCAAAUCUACUAUUCUUGUCAGAUGUUGGGGCUUCUUCUGUCACUCUUCUGAUGGGGAAAUUUCUUAUGGUACUUACCUGUUGCUUGUGCUCUCUCAAUACUCAUGUUCAUCUCUUGGCUAUUCUCCACCUCAGGUACCCGUCUAUGAGGCCUCAUCUCUGUUUGUUUAUCAAUUAUAAAAUCUUGACCUCUCUUAUGUUUGAUACUUUUUCCGUUGUUGUUUGCGAGUUGGGGACCUCUAUUUUCCAAGUUGAUGUGAUUAAUACCUUCAUUCUCAGCAGGGAUGUUCUCGUUCUUCUGUAAAGGGAUUUUCUCGCUUUGUAUUUUCUGAUGGUCGACUCGUGGUAUGAGUUACAACAGAUGUCCUAGACAUUAUAUUACCUAAUAUCACAAUCUCUUGGAUCACCUUCAACCAGUAGAUUUCAUUUGACGUCCAUAUCUAAACUUGGAUCAUGACCAUGAAAUAAACGAACAAGAUGCAGUCGUUUGGAUUGCAUGCACAUCGAUCAUAAGGUUCACCACUAUGGAGAUGCACCACAAUGACCGUGUUAAAUUGCAAUUCGGUAUGCUUCAACAUAUCCCAAAUCCCUUGAUAAACCUCAGAGAAUGACAUUUAUAAAGAGUUAACGACUAAUGGAACUUUAACCCUUGGCAACGCUUCACUAGAUGCGAGUGUCGAAAAUAGAAGCACCAACAAGACCAUGUCUUAAGUGACAUUGUGAUGCCAACCGAUGAAAAACAACUCAUAAUUAUAUGGCUUGUGAUGCAUAAUUAUAACUUACUCAGCU